UGCGCACAAAAUGCAGCAAGUCUAAGCAUUCGCUUUAGGGAAGUUGGUGAAAGUCCAAUACUGCCCCCGCAACGGUAAAAAUGAAAAGCAUAUCAAUGAAAUCUUUUUAAAGAUUGACACCACUGCACGACCGUGUGGGAAGGUGGAUAUGCAAAUAUCCUAGAUAUUACAUUUAAGUCCGGAAACCUGCUUGUUGCGCCUUUAACUC
Molecule: non-coding RNA, 208 nt
Filed under: Acinetobacter sp.
Lineage: Bacteria; Pseudomonadati; Pseudomonadota; Gammaproteobacteria; Moraxellales; Moraxellaceae
Source: RNAcentral